This 839-nucleotide long non-coding RNA is filed under the name Brassica napus (rape). RNAcentral describes it as "long non-coding RNA (BNAP_LNC007746)". Lineage: Eukaryota; Viridiplantae; Streptophyta; Magnoliopsida; Brassicales; Brassicaceae. The record is from RNAcentral.
GGAUACGGGCCAACCGCUGCUACAUCGAAACGGAACAGUGCUCCAUGACCAGCAAAAGCUUUAUCGUGUAGCAUUACCAUGAGAGCUCCGCUCACGGCACAUGGAUAUGCUACACGUCGAGUGUGCCACCGAUGAGUGAAGAACUUCUCAGACCACAAGAAGCCUCCUCUCAAAACGCCAAUCGCCAUCUCCGAAAACCGAAGGGAGGUAAGCUUUAUCUGACUAGAGAUGUACUAGUGGCAUAGUACAAUCUCACGAACAUCCAGAGCACACACAAUUGAGAGCUUAAGUCGACAUAGCUCCACAAAGGAUCGUAACGAGUAACCGAGAAGAGGAAGAAAAUUGAGAGGGAGAGACUGUGCCGCCACGGAGGAGCCAUAGACGACCACCACCGACACCGCAACAUCGCUGCAACCACGAACACACAUCACAAGCCCCGACACACGCCAGUGAUUCAGACUAAACCCGCAUCUGAGCAAAUCUGAAACUCCAGAAUUCCCAAGGCAAGCAAAAACAGAACACGCGUCUUUCGAGACACCAAGGAAGCAACAAUGAAACCGAUUCUAACCUACCACUCACCUAAAUCCGAACAGCAGCACAAGACUGAAACCGGAAGGGGAGAUGAACAAGCUUACGCUUCCACGUGCAGCUGAUCCUACAUGAAGCAAAAGGGCCUCCUGCCAUACCCUAAGAACCGACUUCACCGAGAGAAACCACACCCACCUCGUGCUGAGACUCCAACAGCUGGCUGAAACCUCACCGGACUCAGAGCUUCUCACGUGCAAAGAUAAAUCCAGCAAAGCCUCCAGAGCAGAGAACCAAGCAAGACAAGGAGAGUG